This 2234-nucleotide long non-coding RNA is filed under the name Malus domestica (apple). Its description in RNAcentral is "long non-coding RNA (MDOM_LNC017709)". Lineage: Eukaryota; Viridiplantae; Streptophyta; Magnoliopsida; Rosales; Rosaceae. The record is from RNAcentral.
AGCCAUUGGAGAUUACUGUGUUGACUACAUCUCGAACCGUAUCGAAAAACGUUCAGGAAUACUAAAAUUCGGGAAAGGCAAAAUUUCGGAUCGGUUUCGGUUGCUGAAAUCUCAUCCCGAACUUUUUUAGUUUGGUAUUUGGUAUAUAGCUUUUGGUUCGAUAUCCCAUACUGAACCACCCUAUACACUGUAAUCAAAUGUAAAAAAACUGAACCAAGAAAUGGACACUGCAUUUAUAGUGUCUGAAUCUAAAUGUAAAAAACAGAGCCAGGAAAUGGACACUACAUUAUAGUGUCUGAAUCUAAAUGUAAAAAUUAGAAGUCGCAUGAGGUGUGAAGUGUAAGAGACGUGUGAGUGAUGGCAAAAAUAGAACUAGGAGUUUGAAUGCAAAAGUGAAAAACAGAACCAGAAAACGGACACUACAAUGUAAUGUCUGAAUCCAAAUGUACAAAUGACAUGUAAGAGGCGUGUGAGUGAUGGAAAAAACAGAAUCAAGAAACUGACACUGCAUUGCAAUGUCUGAUUCGUAUUGACUUAUUCCAAAUAUAAAACUAUGAGAAAGGGAGUGUUAGUUGAAGUGGAUGUCAGCUGUAAUGGUAGAUUUUGUCAUUUUUGUUUAUUUUAAAUGCAUUUAAGUAUCACAAUACAUGAUUGACCUAUUUAUAAUUAACAUAAAUAUUAUUGAUCUAUUAUUAAUAUUGUAACUUUUUAUUGAUUUUUCACAAAAUCACCCUAUAACAAAAUCUAAACUAAUUGAAGCUGAUAAUGUGUCCACAACGAAGCGCGGGUACAAACAUGACAUAAGGUAAGCGUAGUAUAGACAUAUGGGUAAGGCGUCGAUUGACAAUAGGCAAAGGCUUGAAUGCUAGAGGAGUUCCACACCAGAGCCACUGUCAUCGCCGCCGCUGCGCCAUGAACCCAUAACCUGCAUAAUUUGUUAGCACUAGAAGUCGUCAAAGGUAUCCUCCAUAUGGGAGCAGAAGAUGAGAUUUUAGAACACUAGAGUUGUGUGGGUUGCAAGUUGAUAAGGGCAGUAAAUAAUGGCAAGAAAAGAGGGACCCACACCAUAAUCAUUAAUGACGCUGCAACGAUGUUGUUUCCGCCACCACCACAUGACUAAAAACCAUUGGACUGAGCCAUAACAUGCAAAUGGAAAGCCAGGGAAGCCCUAGUUACCUAAAAGGGAGUCGCAAAGGCUUUAGAUUUACUAUAGAACUGCCACAGACACUCAGACAACCACUUUCAUGAAACACGACCAACACGCUUAAUAGUUCAGACCAUAAAAUUAGGCUAAAAUCAUUAGGAUAAAUCAUGGCUUGAUUAAACCAAACUAGAAAGAGAUGUUGGAUAAGUUGUUAUGAGAAGAGAAAAUGGAAGCGAGGUGAGGCAUGGGGGCAAGUUGGCAAAUGGGUGAGAUGGAAGAGAAGGAAAUAAAGGGUGGAUGGGGAGGGAGGACGACAAAAUGAGGAGAUGAGGAUGUUUUUAAGGAAGGAGAAAGUGUUUGCAGCCCACCCCAUGUGGUACCUAGGGCCAUCAGUUGUGAAAUUCUAGACCUAGGGCUUUUUCUUGGAGGAGAAGAGAGGGUCGCAGCUUAGGCUUAAAGAGAGAUUGUGUGGGUAAAUAUAUAUUAUUUAAUGGUAAAGUUCAUGUUUAAUAAGAAAGUGUUUUCAAAUAAUGGAUAGUUUGAUCGCUAUUUAGGAUUAUAUUCUUCUUAAUUUGUAAGUGAGAUUUUAGAUCUAUCACUCAUGGAUAAUGAGUUUAAUAUCAAAUCAUUAUGUUGCCUAUUGUGUGGCACCCAUAAUGUAAAUAUAAUGUAACAUCAAUCAGAAAAAAAAAAAAAAAAAAAAAGAAGUUAGCAUCACUAGUGCAAAAGACUUGAAGCUCAAGUAGUUAAACACAUUAUGAAUAGUUUAUGGACUUAAUUAAUAGAAACUAGUGGAAAGUUGUACAAAGCCGCCAAGAGGAGCGGCACUUCCAUGCAGAAAAAAGGAGAUGAUUGCGAGGGUUGACAAUGAUAUUUGUCAGAAUCAACCCAUGAAUGAUGGUUAUGGGGUGAUGGGGGUUGAUUGGGUGUGUAUGAUUGAAUCCUUGUUGGAUUGCCUACAGAUCUCUAGGAAUGGAGAAACAAAUCAAAGUGUAGUUUUAGAGAAUGAGUGGUAUGAUGUGUGCUACAUUGUGAACCAUCCUUGGUGAAUUAGCAUACAUCAGGGCGUGCAAGAGAGAUAAAUGUUCAU